Molecule: ribosomal RNA, 477 nt
Filed under: uncultured Acidovorax sp.
Lineage: Bacteria; Pseudomonadati; Pseudomonadota; Betaproteobacteria; Burkholderiales; Comamonadaceae
Description: bacterial SSU rRNA
Rfam family: Bacterial small subunit ribosomal RNA
Source: RNAcentral
CAAAGGAAUUGACGGGACCGCACAAGCGGUGGAUGAUGUGGUUAAUUCGAUGCAACGCGAAAACCUUACCACCUUUGACAUGUACGGAAUCCUUUAGAGAUAGAGGAGUGCUCGAAAGAGAACCGUAACACAGGUGCUGCAUGGCUGUCGUCAGCUCGUGUCGUGAGAUGUUGGGUUAAGUCCCGCAACGAGCGCAACCCUUGUCAUUAGUUGCUACAUUCAGUUGGGCACUCUAAUGAGACUGCCGGUGACAAACCGGAGGAAGGUGGGGAUGACGUCAAGUCCUCAUGGCCCUUAUAGGUGGGGCUACACACGUCAUACAAUGGAUGGUACAAAGGGUCGCCAACCCGCGAGGGGGAGCCAAUCCCAUAAAGCCAUUCGUAGUCCGGAUCGCAGUCUGCAACUCGACUGCGUGAAGUCGGAAUCGCUAGUAAUCGUGGAUCAGCAUGUCCGCGGUCGAAUACGUUCCCGGGCCUU